UACGAAGGGGGCUAGCGUUGCUCGGAAUUACUGGGCGUAAAGCGCACGUAGGCGGUCUUUUAAGUCGGGGGUGAAAUCCUGGAGCUCAACUCCAGAACUGCCUUCGAUACUGGAAGACUUGAGUCCGGGAGAGGUGAGUGGAACUGCGAGUGUAGAGGUGAAAUUCGUAGAUAUUCGCAAGAACACCAGUGGCGAAGGCGGCUCACUGGCCCGGUACUGACGCUGAGGUGCGAAAGUGUGGGGAGCAAACAGG
Molecule: ribosomal RNA, 253 nt
Filed under: uncultured bacterium
Lineage: Bacteria
Description: partial 16S ribosomal RNA
Rfam family: Bacterial small subunit ribosomal RNA
Source: RNAcentral